Molecule: ribosomal RNA, 469 nt
Filed under: uncultured bacterium
Lineage: Bacteria
Description: partial 16S ribosomal RNA
Rfam family: Bacterial small subunit ribosomal RNA
Source: RNAcentral
GACGAACGCUGGCGGCGUGCUUAACACAUGCCAGUCGAACGGAAAGGCCCUGCUUGCAGGGUGCUCGAGUGGCGAACGGGUGAGUAACACGUUGGUGAUCUGCCCCUUACUUUGGGAUAAGCCUGGGAAACUGGGUCUAAUACUGGAUAGGACCAUGCUGUAGGUGGUGUGGUGGAAAGAUUAGUUUCGGUAAGGGAUGAGCUCGCGGCCUAUCAGCUUGUUGGUGGGGUAUUGGCCUACCAAGGCGUAGACGGGUAGCCGGCCUGAGAGGAAAGGCGGCAACAUUGCGACUGCGAGAGCAGCCAGAGUCGUACGGGAGGCAGCAGUGGGGAAUAUUGCACAACGGGCGCAUGCAGGAUGCAGGGACGGCGCGUGGGGGAGGACGGCAUUCGGGUUGUAAACUCCUUUCAGCCAUGACGAAGCCCUUGUGGUGACGGUAGUGGUAGAAGAAGCACCGGCUAACUACGUG